This 548-nucleotide long non-coding RNA is filed under the name Ananas comosus (pineapple). Its description in RNAcentral is "long non-coding RNA (ACOM_LNC003474)". The record is from RNAcentral. Lineage: Eukaryota; Viridiplantae; Streptophyta; Magnoliopsida; Poales; Bromeliaceae.
AAGUAGCAGUUAAUUUAAGAAUCCAACUAUUAUCCUUUUAGGAGGACGGAGAACUUCGCCUUCCUAAGUCGUUUUAGAUGAUAGAAAUUUCAAAUCAACAGUCAGAAUCGGUAAAAUUGAUAUAGAGUAUUUAAAGUGUGUAGAAACUAAAUUUUAUAAAUUUUAAAAAUUAUUUACAUAGUGAUAAAAGGAUAAUAAAAUCGAUAGUUUUUUACAGCCUAUAUAAGCCGUUUACUUAUUUAACGGUAUAGAACAAUCCAAACAGUUUGAAUUUUUAAUAAAAAAUUUUUUAUACUAUUUAGAUAACGUUUGAUAACUCUGAUCAUAAAUUGAAAAAGUCUAACAUCUAUUUUUACCGUUCAUUUUUCUACUGCUCAAUGAACUUGAUAACGAUUGAUAACGAAUUUUAAAAUUUUUGAAAUUUAGUUUCUAAAUAUUUUAAAUACUUUAUAUUAAAUUUAACGGUUUCAAUUAUCGAUUCGAAAUUCCUAUUAUUUAAAACGACUUAGGAGGACGAAGGCCUCCGUCCUCCUAAAAGGAUAGUAUCU